UGAAAUGAGCGCUAGGGUUCCGGUCGCGGCUGCCGAUGUUUCGGUCGCCGCGGCGCCUGGUCCAAGAGCGGUCGGCCUUCGGCGGCGGUUUACCGUCUGAGGCUCCACGGCGGGACAAAAGCCCGGGAGGU
RNAcentral lists this small RNA (131 nucleotides) under Caldimonas brevitalea. RNAcentral describes it as "Polyangium brachysporum Guanidine-I sequence". It matches the Rfam family "Guanidine-I riboswitch aptamer". From Rfam's summary of the family: This family represents a conserved RNA structure found upstream of the ykkC and yxkD genes in Bacillus subtilis and related genes in other bacteria. The function of this family is unclear although it has been suggested that it may function to switch on efflux pumps and detoxification systems in response to harmful environmental molecules. Lineage: Bacteria; Pseudomonadati; Pseudomonadota; Betaproteobacteria; Burkholderiales; Sphaerotilaceae. The record is from Rfam by way of RNAcentral.